Non-coding RNA from Acanthosepion pharaonis, 108 nucleotides. The record is from the annotation of a GenBank genome assembly. Lineage: Eukaryota; Metazoa; Mollusca; Cephalopoda; Sepiida; Sepiidae.
GGCCACAUCACGUUGAGACACCGGUUCCUGUACGAUCACCGAAUUUAAACAACGUCGAGCCAGGUCAGUACCUAAAUGGGUGACAACUUGAGAAUACCAGGUUCUGUA